Molecule: ribosomal RNA, 587 nt
Filed under: Vishniacozyma carnescens
Lineage: Eukaryota; Fungi; Basidiomycota; Tremellomycetes; Tremellales; Bulleribasidiaceae
Description: eukaryotic LSU rRNA
Rfam family: Eukaryotic large subunit ribosomal RNA
Source: RNAcentral
AAGCGGAGGAAAAGAAACUAACUAGGAUUCCCUUAGUAACGGCGAGUGAACCGGGAUGAGCUCAAAUUUGAAAUCUGGCGUCUUUCAGGCGUCCGAGUUGUAAUCUAUAGAGGCGUUUUCCGCGCCGGACCGCGUCCAAGUCUCUUGGAAUAGAGUAUCAAAGAGGGUGACAAUCCCGUACUUGACGCGACAACCGGUGCUCUGUGAUACGUUCUCAAUGAGUCGAGUUGUUUGGGAAUGCAGCUCUAAAUGGGUGGUAAAUUCCAUCUAAGGCUAAAUAUUGGCGAGAGACCGAUAGCGAACAAGUACCGUGAGGGAAAGAUGAAAAGCACUUUGGAAAGAGAGUUAAACAGCACGUGAAAUUGUUAAAAGGGAAACGAUUGAAGUCAGUCGUGUGGGAAGUAUUCAGCCGUCUCUGGCGGUGUAUUUGCUUCUCACGGGUCAACAUCAGUUUGAUCCGGUAGAAAAAGGCGGGAAGAAGGUGGCACCCUCGGGUGUGUUAUAGCUUCCUGUCAUAUGUGCCGGACCAGACUGAGGAACGCAGCUUGCAGCAAUGCCGGGGUUCGCCCACGUACAAGCUUAGGAUG